This 488-nucleotide ribosomal RNA is filed under the name uncultured bacterium. Its description in RNAcentral is "bacterial SSU rRNA". It matches the Rfam family "Bacterial small subunit ribosomal RNA", at positions 245 to 750 of the family's 1533-position model. The record is from RNAcentral.
CUUGUUGGUGAGGUAACGGCUCACCAAGGCUUCGAUCCGUAGCUGGUCUGAGAGGAUGAUCAGCCACACUGGGACUGAGACACGGCCCAGACUCCUACGGGAGGCAGCAGUGGGGAAUAUUGGACAAUGGGGGCAACCCUGAUCCAGCCAUGCCGCGUGCGUGAAGAAGGCCUUAGGGUUGUAAAGCGCUUUCGGCGGGGAAGAUGAUGACGGUACCCGCAGAAGAAGCUCCGGCUAACUCCGUGCCAGCAGCCGCGGUAAUACGGAGGGGGCUAGCGUUGUUCGGAAUUACUGGGCGUAAAGGGCGCGUAGGCGGAUUGUCAAGUCAGAGGUGAAAGCCCUGGGCUCAACCUGGGAACUGCCUUUGAAACUAACGGUCUAGAGUCCGAGAGAGGAUGGCGGAAUUCCCAGUGUAGAGGUGAAAUUCGUAGAUAUUGGGAAGAACACCAGUGGCGAAGGCGGCCAUCUGGCUCGGUACUGACGCUGAG